CGAGGUGGAGCAAAUCCCAAAAAUAACGUCUCAGUUCGGAUUGUAGUCUGCAACUCGACUACAUGAAGCUGGAAUCGCUAGUAAUCGCGAAUCAGAAUGUCGCGGUGAAUACGUUCCCGGGUCUUGUACACACCGCCCGUCACACCAUGGGAGUCAGCAACGCCCGAAGCCGGUGACCCAACCGAAAGGAGGGAGCCGUCGAAGGUGGGGCCGAUAACUGGGGUGAAGUCGUAACAAGGUACC
Molecule: ribosomal RNA, 243 nt
Filed under: uncultured bacterium
Lineage: Bacteria
Description: partial 16S ribosomal RNA
Rfam family: Bacterial small subunit ribosomal RNA
Source: RNAcentral